AUGUGGAAUAAGAAUGGAGUAGUAAGUGUAGAACCGAAAAUGGAGAUGAAUAGUAGUAGACGAGGUGAUGUUUUUUUUUAUGGAGGUGUUGGCAUAAUUUCUAUACUACUUCCUUCUAAUUUUCUCCUCAGUAAUUUUUGUGUUUUUACUUGUUUCUCUGUAUUUUUCAUAUUGUUUCCUUUUUUACUAUAA
Vicia faba (fava bean) is the source of this 192-nucleotide non-coding RNA. Lineage: Eukaryota; Viridiplantae; Streptophyta; Magnoliopsida; Fabales; Fabaceae. The record is from the annotation of a GenBank genome assembly.